GGGGCAGUCACGGCUCACUGCAGCCUCGAACUCCUGGGCUCAGUUGAUUCUCCCGCCUCAGCCUCCUGAGAAGCUAGGACUACAGGUACGCGUCACUAUGCCCAGCUAAUGUUUUUUAAAAAAUAUUGUUGAGACAGGGUCUCACUAUGUUGCUCAGGCUGGUCUCCAACUCCUGGUCACUCUGGGUCAUCCACCCAACCUGGUCUCCAAAGUGUUGAGAUUAUAGGCAUGAGCCACCUGCCCUGCCUAGUCUGUAGCUUCUGUUUUCUAGAAAGUUCCUGGUGCUAAUGUCAGAGCACAUUUUGGGAGCCUGUGUGCCUCCUAACUCCUUGGCCUUCAGCCUCGUUUGAUCUCCAGAUUAUUGGUGCAGAUGCUGCUGCUGAGGUUCAGGGUCAACCUAUGAUUGAUGCUUGUCACUACAGAUUGGCACCCUCCAAAGACCUCCCUGGUGGAAACUUAAGAAGAGGGAGAAGGAAGAAGAAAACACUCCAAGCCCAAAUACCUUCCAUUUGGCAAAUGAAUGCCGCUGUCCACGUGGGCGAGCAUGAGUGUAAUUCUCCAAACUUUGGCCAUGGGCCUGGAGACACUGAGGGUCUUGUGACUGGAAAGAAUUCCAAAGCAGGAAAUGAAACACCGAUUUAUCACCCAGGACUAACUACGUCAGAAUUUCACUGGUGCUGUCAGGGCUCAGGAUGUCUCACAAAAUGUUCUAUAGCCAGCAUCCUGCCUUAAAAAAAUACACACACCCUAAACCCAGCCACAAGCAAAGGUCAUUCCAUUGGAUUUGCGUCACACUCUCUUCCAAUUCCUCUCAACAAAUGCCUCUGGUUACCUGUUGUGUACCAAGCCCAGGGGCACACUGGGGAUAAAGUUGAAAAAGACACUGGAUCUGUCCCUGGGAGCCCCCAUCUCUUCACUUACCUUGGUUGAGGUUUUGAACCUAGUGCUUUGGAGCUGCUUGUCUGGUGUGGGGAUGCUUGUCUGUGAUGGGGCCCCUCUGCCAGCUUCGCCAGGCAGUACCACCCCACUGAAGACAGCAAAGAGCUGAGGAUGGCUGGUGCCAACAGGUCCCUUGGGCUGGGAGCAUCUACUGCCUCACUGUGGGAGGGGGACCAAGUGUGUCCAGUGCCGUUUCAUCUCAGUGUCUGAGGAUCAGCCUGUGAUCGUUUCAGCUUUGCUCACGCUGGAUGCUUUCCCAUCCUCCUAGCUGUGCGGAGACACCAGGCAGCAACAGGAGCGAUGUUUUGCCUUGUCUGUGCCCCCCAAAGGAGCUGUCUGCCGCCUCUGCCUCUGAGACAGCCCAAACCAGCCCUCCUCUCUCCCCACAUCUCAGCCUGGCUCUGCCAUCUGCUGGCUCCGGGUGUAUUUUGACCCAUGUAAAUAGUUACCAGGUGUUACUCUGUGCCAGCUGGACAGAAGCAAGCCUGCUUGGUGAGAUGGCCAGAACUUCCAGAAGAGGCACCGCGUGACAGGGGCAGUCUGCCACACCAUCUGCUCCGGAUGUGGAGCCCUGUUGCCAUGGCACCCAAGUUAAUGCUGAGUGAGGUCUGUGAAUCACCGUUUCCCUGGGAUCUUUGCUCAAAAAGAGGGGAAUCUUCUCCUGUGGCCUCUCGUAGGACUUAGGAGAUUGAUCAGCCUUUUGCCGGUACAAAUGCUGCAUGCUAGUGAGUGCUUGGCGUAAGACCAAAGUUACUACUGAUGCAACAGGAAAUGGCAUGCCUCUGGCUCACCAAAAUGAAGGUGUUCUCUUUUGGGGCUCCAUACACUAAUUUAGAAAGCUUGAAGAACCAGGAAUUAUAGAAUGGAGAAAAGCACUCAUGGGGGAGGUUUGCAUCCUGGUGGCCUAUAGCCCAGUUUGGGAUUUGUGUGCCUCUUGGCCAAGCAUGCUCCCUGCGGUUUACCAGGGUCCUGGUCACCUGCACGUCCUUACACUUCCUGCAUCUCACUUCUUUGUCACUCAUCUGACCCACAGAGAAAACUGAGUUGUCAAUCUUUGAAUAAAACUAGAAGGAUGUCGCCUGGAGGAAAGAGGGAAGGAGGUAACUAAAUAAUGCUCCAUGAAGGACUUUUAAAAUAUGCUUCUUAAAUAAAUAAUACAUGUGGAAAGAUAAUACAUAUGGAUUAAAAAUGCAGUAAUGUAAAAGAAUAGAAAGUCUUCCAUUAUCUUAUGUCCCAGAGAUAACCACUUUUACUAAUUGGUGUCUACCUUUUUUUUUUCCCUUUUCUUUUAAAUAAUAGAGAUGGGGUCUCGCUAUGUUGACCAGGCUGGGCUCAAACUCCUGGCUUCAAGUGAUCCUUCCAUCUUGGCCUCCCAAAGUGCUGAGAUUAUAGGUCUGAGUCACCAUGCCUGGUAGGUGUCUAUCUUAUAAAAAGCCCUACACUUAAGGAUUUAAAGGUAAGAGCCUGUAUGAGGCCAUUCUCAUGCUGCUAUAAAGAACUGCCCAAGACUGGGUAAUUUAUAAAGGAAAGAGGUUUAAUUGACUCACAAUUCCGCAUGAUUGGGGAGGCCUCAGGAAACUUUCAAUCAUGGUGGAAGGGGAAGCAAACACGUCCUUCUGCACAAGGUGGCAGAAGAGAGAAGUACAGAGCCAAGGAGGGAAAAACUCCUUAUAAAACCAUUAGAUCUCGUGAGAACUCACUCACUAUCAUGAGAACAGCAUAAGGAAAACACCCCCACAAUGUAAUCACCUCCCUUGAGGUCCCUCCUCCAACAUGUGGGCAUUGUAAUUCAGAUUAAAAUUCAAGAUGAGAUUUUGGGUGGAGCACAGCCAAACCAUAUCAGAGCCAUUCUCUAUCUUUUGCAGAUUGGAAAAAGAAAAAAAAAAAAA
This is a long non-coding RNA of Macaca fascicularis (crab-eating macaque), 2828 nucleotides long. Lineage: Eukaryota; Metazoa; Chordata; Mammalia; Primates; Cercopithecidae. The record is from Ensembl.